This 336-nucleotide ribosomal RNA is filed under the name uncultured bacterium. Its description in RNAcentral is "bacterial SSU rRNA". It matches the Rfam family "Bacterial small subunit ribosomal RNA", at positions 29 to 349 of the family's 1533-position model. The record is from RNAcentral.
AAUCAACGCUGGCGGCGUGCCUAACACAUGCAAGUCGAGCGCGAAAGGGGAGCAAUCCCCAAGUAGAGCGGCGGACGGGUGAGUAACACGUGGGUAACCUACCCUCGGGUGGGAAUAACUCAGGGAAACUUGAGCUAAUUCCGCAUAACAUCCCGGGCUCAUAAGAGUCCGGAAUCAAAGCUGGGGACCCUUCGGGGCCUGGCGUCUGAGGAGGGGCCCGCGGCCGAUCAGCUAGUUGGCGAGGUAACGGCUCACCAAGGCGACGAUCGGUAGCCGGCCUGAGAGGGCGGACGGCCACACUGGAACUGAGACACGGUCCAGACUCCUACGGGAGGC